This 5381-nucleotide long non-coding RNA is filed under the name Olea europaea (common olive). RNAcentral's name for it is "long non-coding RNA (OEUR_LNC009703)". The record is from RNAcentral. Lineage: Eukaryota; Viridiplantae; Streptophyta; Magnoliopsida; Lamiales; Oleaceae.
AACUCCACGAGGGAAUACAUACUGAUUGCAGAAUUACCAUGUUUUGGCGAUGGAAGCAAAGCUAGAGCUUUGCCAUUUUCCCUCUUUCCAAUUUCUUCAUUAUCCACAAAAACUUCAAGUUAAAUACCUAAGAAUAUCAAUUCCUUUUCAGUCAAUACUCCUCUGAACAACUCGAAACGCAAUGCCAGGACUGAAUAUCCGGUUUAAGGAUGAAGAUUCGACAUCAUACCAACAAACCCAUGUUCCAUUUUUACCAGAGAACUCAAAUAAUUCAAUUUUAUGUUCCGGUGGAUUAUUCCUUGUCGAUAAUAAGAUCCCUUCAUCAAUUAUUAAUGCUAUUUUCGGUGACAAUUAUGUUCCCAUUAAACAUUCGACUGAAUUGCAUUCUCGUAGGAGGCCGGUUGUUGGGUUUGAAUUCUUGUGUUUGAGCUUAUCGAUUAAAGGGAAAGAUAUAGUUAUUAGGAAUUCGAGUGAGAGUUUGGAGCAGAAGAGUAUUAAGGAGGCUCGGGCGGCUGUUGGCGAAGGAAGUACGGCAGUGAAGGCUGGAAAAGUAUCGAAGGUUAGCUUGCGCGGCCGCGGGGCGGUGAACACUACCAAACAUUUGUGGGCUGGAGCUGUGGCUGCCAUGGUUUCAAGGUCUGUAAUUAUUAUUAUUUUUAUUUAUUUAUUUAUUUUUUUCAUCUGGUUAAGUACCCACUUACUCAAUUUCAUUAAAUGUUCGAGACUUGAACCCCAAUAUAUAUGUUUGCCCUAAUACCAUGUUGAAUCACGUGAUCUAAAUUGUUAAGUCCUCAGAGAGGAACACACAUAUGUUAUUUAUAUCUUGUCUUAACCCAUAUGGGCUAAAUAGGAUUCUACUUUACAGAUAAAAACAAUUUCAUGACAAUCAGACAAUGUUGCAACUGACUUUCCUAUGUCUUGUGGUAGAAUUUCUCAUCUAGUUUGGUUGAGUAUGUUUGUAGUCAUAUGGUUCUUUUUGCUUGUUGUUGUAACCUGUUUUUCUCUGUAUCAAUAUUCUGAUGAGAUAAAUCUGAAAUUUAUUACUUAUGAUUAUUUUAGAGGCAUGUUUUGAGUUAUCAGAAUCAUUUGGGAAAUACCUUAGUUGUCGCUUGAAGUUAUUAGAAUUACAAUAAUAUGCAUUUAUCCAGAUUGUGAUGAUCUGUACUGCAAUUCAAGGAUCUCUUUUGUUUGCUCUCUGUUGAUCUCACUUUCUUGCAAACUACCAUCUUGUUGUUGGGUCUGUUUUUUAGUUGACACCGAGAACCUACACUCAGCAUUUAAAUGAUGUACCUAUUAUUAUUAUUAUUUUUUUUUUUUAAAUUUAUUUUCACUAGUACUUCAUCUGUGUAAAUAGUUUUCUUUGAUCAGAACUUGCGUCGCUCCACUUGAGAGAUUAAAGCUGGAAUAUAUAGUCCGUGGUGAAAAGAGGAAUAUAUUUGAGCUCAUCAAGAAAAUAGCAGUAACACAAGGCCUGAAAGGUUUUUGGAAGGGAAAUUUUGUUAACAUUCUGCGCACAGCACCUUUUAAAGCAAUCAAUUUUUAUUCUUACGAUACAUAUAGAAAGCAGCUUCUCAAAUUAUCUGGGAAUGAAGAAACCACGAAUUUUGAGAGGUUUAUUGCUGGUGCUGCAGCUGGCAUGACAGCUUCAGUACUCUGCUUGCCACUAGACACUGUGAGUGAUAGUUCUUACAUUUUUUAUCGAUUCUUUUAGUAUUUUUUGUCCAUAUCUUUAGCAUUUUUUUUUGGUUCUUGUAAAUGAAACAAUUUUGUUCUGGAGAUGAAACUAUAAAUUGAACUGAAGUUCCAGGAUUGUAGUGAUGUUGAAAAUAAGGUCAAUGUCUAUGCAUGUAAUACUGUUUUCUGUUACAAAGUACAAGCACAUUGGUUUGAAGCUUUAAGUAUUGGACCUUUGAUCAUUUUGGUUGCUGGAAAGGAAAUGGAUUUUUGUCAUUUAGAAGGAAGGAAACAGAAAUGAGAUGAAAAGUAAUUUUCCUUAAUUUGUUUACAAUAAAAUUGGCAAAUUCUUGACCACUUCUUAAUGUGAAAAUGCCAAAAAAUAUAUUUCUGUGACUUGAAUAGAGAAUUUUUGAAUGUUUUAGGUUCGGACGAGGUUGGUGGCGCCUGGUGGAGAAGCACUUGGUGGUGUAAUUGGAGCUUUUCGUCAUGUGAUUCAAACUGAAGGGUUCUUUUCUCUUUACAAGGGUUUACUCCCGUCUAUCUUGAGUAUGGCACCCUCAGGAGCUGUUUUCUAUGGGGUAUAUGACAUUUUGAAAUCGGCUUAUUUGCAUUCACCUGAAGGAAGAAAAAGAAUUCAGAACAUGAGACAACACGAUCAAGAAUUGAAUGCUUUAGAACAACUCGAGUUGGGACCAAUGAGGACUUUCCUGUAUGGAGCUAUUUCCGGUGCUUGUGCUGAAGCUGCUACCUAUCCAUUUGAGGUUGUGAGGAGGCAGCUCCAACUGCAAGGCCGAGCUACUAAAAUGAGUGCAUUGGCAACAGCCGUCAGAAUCGUUGAACGAGGAGGUCUGCCUGCUCUUUAUGCAGGUCUUUUUCCCAGUUUACUACAGGUAUGGUGUAUAUUAUGUGCGUGUUUUGUAAGGAGGAGAGAGUAUUAAGGAAUGAAAAGGAGUUAAAAUCUUGUUCAUUAUACUAUCAAAGUCCUGUGUGCCAAACAUGCACUAUAUGAAGUCUUCCUCUGGCUUCUGAUUAUUAUUUUUGCAAGGGCAUUCACCCUUUCUGAAACUUAAAGAUUGGAAUAUUUAAGCUUGCAACUCUUUAAUGUCUCCUACAUGGCCAGUUUCAAGCACGUACAUUUUUAUAUGGCUAGAUUCCUUUGCACACCUCUACAUGUUUUAGUGGAGUAGCAUCCCUCUUGUGAGUAGAAUCUUCUUUUGAUCCAUACAAGGGAUACACCAACCAACCAAGUUGUCCUGCAUUUAAUUUAUCUCAAAUCCACAUCAGCUCUGCUUGGCCUAUAUUCUUAUUUAAAAUGCAUUAAACACUUAUUCUUUGUGAAGGCAUGAUUCUCUAUAGAGGCUCAUCUGUUAUCCUUAUUCCUACUAUGGCAAAAAGGACAUUCCAUGUGCUGCCGUAGUUGUACUUAACCUACAAUUUUACGAUUUAUUUCCUUCUCAGUCUCAUCAGCUUGAACUAUAUAAUCAACGAAUAACAUGCAUCGAGGAACCUUAUAUUGGGUAUGGCUCGUUAGCUCAUAUGCUAUUAAAAUUAAGGCAGAACCUUGAUGCAAACCUAUACUGAUGAGAAAUUCUCUACUAUUACUCCCGCUAUCUCACUUGUGACUCCUCCAUCGGGGACAUCCUUUAUGUAUUGAUUAAUAUGGAAUCAACUAUUUAUGAGUCUCACAUAUGACAUUUUCAUCUGUCCUCAGGCAUCUGAAGAUCAUUUUACCAUCAUCUUGUAUGUUUGGCAUUACAUUUUCUCAUAUGGUGCACUUCAUCUCAUUCCUUGAUUGUUAUUCUUCAGGUGUUGCCUUCAGCGUCAAUAAGCUACUUUGUUUACGAGUUCAUGAAGAUUGUUCUUAAGGUGGCGUGAAUCACGGGAAGUUCAAGUUUAUAGUUAAGUAGAGGAAAUUCUCAAGAAACAGCAGAGCAAUUGGAUUCAUUCACAUGUAGCAGUUAAUAUACUCUACAGUCUCAGCAUCCUUAACUAUUCUCACCUGCAUUUGUUAUACAACUUUUCUGAAACUUGGAUCAUUUUCUACCAUAAAAUGGAAUCUUGAUUUUGCAUUUUUUUUUUCAUUGCGAAAUAAAUCCUGUACCAAUGGAUUAUAUGUUCGAGUAAAUGCAGUAGACACCAUAUUUUACUAUUGGACAGCAGUCUCCUUCAAUUAUCAAUCAAUAUGGUUGAGAGUCAAAUUCUCCAUUCAAGAAGACAAAAAAUCUUUGUGAGAAAAUGAUUUUUUUAGAUAAGUAUGAUUAAAAAUUAAAGAAAAAUUGUAGGUUAAUAUGUAAAAUUAUUUUAUUGGGAGAAUAUGUAUUUAAAAAUGAGUUUAUUUAAACUUCAUAUUUUUUAUUUUAAGAUAUGGAGAGAUUUUUUUUAAAUUAAAUAUUUAUUAAUAAAAAAUUACUAUAAAUAAAAUUUAAAAAAAUUUAUCACCACUCCCUGCACAGAGUGGAUUCACUCCAUGCAUGGAGUGUUAUCACUUUGUGUAAAAGGAGAGUUCUCUCAUUUUGAAAAGUCAAAAGGAGAAAACUCUCAUUUUGAAAGCAGAGAUUCUCUCCGUACACGAAGAGAUUUUUUUUUUUAUUUUUUAAAUUUAAUUUUUUAAAUUUUAAUAAAUUAAAUAAUAUUUAUAUAGUAUUUAUUUAAUUUUUGUAACUUUUAUUUUAUUUUAUUUUAUUUGCUUAUUUUGAUUUAAUAAAAUAAUUUUUAUACAUUACUUAUAAUAUAAAGACAUUCGUUAAAUUUGAAUUAAAUAAUAUUUAUGUUUUCUUUAAAUCAUUUUAAUUUAAUUUAAAAACUUUGUAAUAAUUUUUUUUAUUUUUAUCUACAAUUUUUUUAAAUAAUCUUUAUAUUUAAUUUCGUUUCUUUAUUAUAUAAUUUAUGGUAUUACCUUUAAUCAAGUGAAGUAGUGUAUGAAAAUUGAGAAAUAUUAUAGUGGAGGUGACAGUAAAACGGCGUGUGAAAAUGGUGAAAUGACGUGCGAAAAUAAUUCUACAGCGUCAUUGAAUAGAAUAAUUUACUGUUGUCAAACCGAUUUCAGACAAAUUUCGUGUGAAAACCUAUGUGAUAAAAAUAAACAGUAAAACUCACAUUCUCUCUUUUAAAAUAAGGAGGGAUUAUAGAUAGCUUAUAUGUUAAUUGCUAUUUAGCAACAAAAUUUUUAAUUCAAAUAUCUAGUAUAGGUAGCUUAUGUUUCACUAGAAUAUUUGCCAACAUAAUUUUUAAUUCAUAUGAAAUUUUUUGUUUUUUGUUGGAAUUUGAAAUUCUUUAUCUAAAUUUUAGCAACAUGAGAUUUUUACAAACGACAAUACGAAAGUAGACAUUUUUCUUUUUGCAAUUUCCUCUUUCUAAUUUACAAAAAAUGAGUAAAAAAAAAUAAGAAUAAAACAAAACGGAUAUCGUAAAAAAUCCGAGAAUCACCCAACUCCACGAGGGAAUACAUACUGAUUGCAGAAUUACCAUGUUUUGGCGAUGGAAGCAAAGCUAGAGCUUUGCCAUUUUCCCUCUUUCCAAUUUCUUCAUUAUCCACAAAAACUUCAAGUUAAAUACCUAAGAAUAUCAAUUCCUUUUCAGUCAAUACUCCUCUGAACAACUCGAAACGCAAUGCCAGGACUGAAUAUCCGGUUUAAGGAUGAAGAUUCGACAUCAUACCAACAAACCCAUGUUCCAUUUUUACCAGAGAACUCAAAUAAUUCAAU